UAAGGAAUAUUGGUCAAUGGACGCAAGUCUGAACCAGCCAUGCCGCGUGAAGGAAGACGGCCCUACGGGUUGUAAACUUCUUUUGUACGGGAAAAAACCACCGGUCGAGCAUCGGUGCUGAUGGUACCGUAAGAAUAAGCAUCGGCUAACUCCGUGCCAGCAGCCGCGGUAAUACGGAGGAUGCAAGCGUUAUCCGGAUUCAUUGGGUUUAAAGGGUGCGCAGGCGGAAUGAUAAGUCAGUGGUGAAAUCUCCCGGCUCAACCGGGAAACUGCCAUUGAUACUGUCGUUCUUGAGUACAGUUGAAGUGGGCGGAAUGUGUCAUGUAGCGGUGAAAUGCUUAGAUAUGACACAGAACACCGAUAGUGAAGACAGCUCACUAAGCUGUAACUGACGCUCAUGCACGAAAGCGUGGGGAUCAAACA
Molecule: ribosomal RNA, 423 nt
Filed under: uncultured prokaryote
Description: bacterial SSU rRNA
Rfam family: Bacterial small subunit ribosomal RNA
Source: RNAcentral